AUCACCAUCACCAGGAGAACUUGUUAAAGCGCAGAUUGCUGGGCUCCACCUCCAGAGUUUCUGAUUCAGUAGGUUGGGGGUGGGACCAAAUAAUCUGCACAUCUAACAAAUUCCCAGGUGACUCUGAU
RNAcentral lists this microRNA precursor (128 nucleotides) under Marmota monax (woodchuck). The record is from RNAcentral. Lineage: Eukaryota; Metazoa; Chordata; Mammalia; Rodentia; Sciuridae.